GACGAACCGAGCGAACGUUGUUCGGAAUCACUGGGCUUAAAGGGCGCGUAGGCGGGCCGUCGCGUCCGGGGUGAAAUCCCACGGCUCAACCGUGGAACGGCCUCGGAUACGGGCGGCCUCGAGGGGGGUAGGGGCAUCUGGAACUGUGAGUGGAGCGGUGAAAUGCGUUGAUAUUCACAGGAACUCCGGUGGCGAAGGCGAGGUGCUGGACCCCAUCUGACGCUGAGGCGCGAAAGCCAGGGGAGCAAACGGG
Molecule: ribosomal RNA, 253 nt
Filed under: uncultured bacterium
Lineage: Bacteria
Description: partial 16S ribosomal RNA
Rfam family: Bacterial small subunit ribosomal RNA
Source: RNAcentral